GCCUGGGUGGCUCAGUCGGUUGAGCGUCUGACUGUGGCUCAGGUCAUGACCUCCUGGUUCGUGGGUUCAAGCCCCGCGUUGGGCU
Transfer RNA from Felis catus (domestic cat), 85 nucleotides. It matches the Rfam family "tRNA". From Rfam's summary of the family: Transfer RNA (tRNA) molecules are approximately 80 nucleotides in length. Their secondary structure includes four short double-helical elements and three loops (D, anti-codon, and T loops). The record is from Rfam. NCBI's taxonomy places the organism in Eukaryota, Metazoa, Chordata, Mammalia, Carnivora, Felidae.